UACGUAGGGACCAAGCGUUGUCCGGAAUCAUUGGGCGUAAAGAGCGUGUAGGCGGCUUGUUAAGUCUUGCGUGAAAUCUCGGGGCUCAACCCCGAGCGGUCGUGAGAAACUGGCAGGCUAGAGUGCGGGAGAGGAGAGUGGAAUUCCUGGUGUAGCGGUGAAAUGCGCAGAUAUCAGGAGGAACACCAAUGGCGAAGGCAGCUCGCUGGGACGGUACUGACGCUGAGACGCGAAAGCGUGGGGAGCAAACAGG
This 253-nucleotide ribosomal RNA is filed under the name uncultured bacterium. Its description in RNAcentral is "partial 16S ribosomal RNA". It matches the Rfam family "Bacterial small subunit ribosomal RNA", at positions 524 to 776 of the family's 1533-position model. The record is from RNAcentral.